GGUGAUAUUGCUAGAUCAUGCAACUUCCUUAGUUUUUACACCAAGUGUUCUUGUGUUUGAAUAAUCCAAGCAAUUACGGAUUCAAAAUUAUUCAAACUAACAAUAUAUUACCUUGCAAUCAAGAAUCAAGUGGCCACAUUGAUCAAAAUAACAAAGCAAUAAUGGAAUCAAGCAUGAAAUUGCACAAAUAUUGAAUAAACCAAAGAUAACAACGUAUGAUUGUAACAGCCCGGAAACCGGACCGCUACCGGCGCUAGGAUCCAGAUCGGCUUAAGGCCGCCGUGACCCGUAGCAAGCCUGCUAUGCACUCUAUGUAC
Molecule: long non-coding RNA, 317 nt
Filed under: Manihot esculenta (cassava)
Lineage: Eukaryota; Viridiplantae; Streptophyta; Magnoliopsida; Malpighiales; Euphorbiaceae
Description: long non-coding RNA (MESC_LNC009650)
Source: RNAcentral